RNAcentral lists this long non-coding RNA (384 nucleotides) under Homo sapiens (human). Its description in RNAcentral is "HSALNT0070600". Lineage: Eukaryota; Metazoa; Chordata; Mammalia; Primates; Hominidae. The record is from RNAcentral.
AAAAUAAAUGCUCCAUAGCUCUCUAAAAUUAUUCAAUUACAAUGUGAUUUCAGAUACCCAAUCCAUUUUUUUUUUCCUUAAGCUACAAAAUUUUUUUUCUUGAAUUGCUUUUCCAUGGCAUCCAAUACAUAAGCCAGGUUCUCUUUAAUUACCAAGUUCUAGUUUUCAAAGGAGAGUGAUUAGAGGAAAAGAGGUUGUAGUUGGCUCACACUAUUGUUUUAUUAUCUUUGUUCCCUGCUGUGAUACAAAUGAUUUGCUUUUUCUUGCUGACAGUGGCAUUUUGCUUUGUGCUAAAAAAGAAAAACUCAGAACACCAGCUAUAAAAAUGUUUGUUAUUUCAACCAAUUGUAACAUCUCUAAAAUUCAACAUUUGUCAUUGUUCCA